GACGGGGGGGGCAAGUGUUCUUCGGAAUGACUGGGCGUCAAGGGCACGUAGGCGGUGAAUCGGGUUGAAAGUGAAAGUCGCCAAAAAGUGGCGGAAUGCUCUCGAAACCAAUUCACUUGAGUGGGACAGAGGGGAGUGGAAUUUCGUGUGUAGGGGUGAAAUCCGUAGAUCUACGAAGGAAGGCCAAAAGCGAAGGCAGCUCUCUGGGUCCCUACCGACGCUGGGGUGCGAAAGCAUGGGGAGCGAACAGG
RNAcentral lists this ribosomal RNA (251 nucleotides) under uncultured bacterium. RNAcentral's name for it is "partial 16S ribosomal RNA". It matches the Rfam family "Bacterial small subunit ribosomal RNA", at positions 524 to 776 of the family's 1533-position model. The record is from RNAcentral.